AACGAACGCUGGCGGCAUGCCUAACACAUGCAAGUCGAACGAGACCUUCGGGUCUAGUGGCGCACGGGUGCGUAACGCGUGGGAACCUGCCCUUAGGUUCGGAAUAACUCCCCGAAAGGGGUGCUAAUACCGGAUAAUGUCUUCGGACCAAAGAUUUAUCGCCUUUGGAUGGGCCCGCGUUGGAUUAGCUAGUUGGUAGGGUAAAAGCCUACCAAGGCGACGAUCCAUAGCUGGUCUGAGAGGAUGAUCAGCCACACUGGGACUGAGACACGGCCCAGACUCCUACGGGAGGCAGCGGCGGGGAAUAUUGGACAAUGGGCGAAAGCCUGAUCCAGCAAUGCCGCGUGAGUGAUGAAGGCCUUAGGGUUGUAAAGCUCUUUUACCCGGGAUGAUAAUGACAGUACCGGGAGAAUAAGCUCCGGCUAACUCCGUG
This 433-nucleotide ribosomal RNA is filed under the name uncultured bacterium. Its description in RNAcentral is "partial 16S ribosomal RNA". It matches the Rfam family "Bacterial small subunit ribosomal RNA", at positions 29 to 507 of the family's 1533-position model. The record is from RNAcentral.